GAAUUCCCUGAGAGCCACAGUCCCUCCCCUGGCAGUUAUUCCUCCCUCCCCCCCUCCGGGAAUAAAUCCGGGGAAAUCCUGCGUGAGGAAAGCGAACGGUGCUCGGCGGUUUCCCGGGAAAAGGGAGGGCGGUGGUGGGGUCAGGAGGGUGGGAAUGUGGUUGCUGAACGCCUGGAGGGGCGGGAUGGGAAGAGGGGGGAGGAUUUAAGGGGUUGUUCUGGGACCUCAAAAGCUUCAAACCCCAAAACCGGGAGUGAAAAUGGGUCAAAACUCCGAAUUCUUAAUGGAAAAAAGGGGGUUGGAGGGCUUGGGUUUGGAACUCGGAGUGGAAACUGUGGGGUCAGACCCCAAACAGUGGGGUUAGGUUUAGUUUCCAAACCCCAAACUCUAAAUGAAAACAGGGGGUUUAGGUUUUAUUUCCAAACCCCAAACUCUGAAUGAAAACAGGGGUUUGUGGAUCAAAUCCCAAAACUCUGAAUGAAAACAGGGGUUUGUACAUUUUAUUUUCAAUUUCCAAACUCCAAAUGCAAACAGUGGAUUUAGGUUUUAUUUCAAACCCUAAAACUCUAAAUACAAACUGUGGAUUGAGGUUUUAUUUCCAAACCCCAAACUCCAAAUAAUGACAGUGGAUUUAGGUUUUAUUUCCAACCCUAAAACUCUAAAUACAAACUGUGGAUUGAGGUUUUAUUUCCAAACCCCAAACUCCAAAUAAUAACAGUGGAUUUAGGUUUUAUUUCCAAACCCCAAACUC
Molecule: long non-coding RNA, 751 nt
Organism: Lepidothrix coronata (blue-crowned manakin)
Lineage: Eukaryota; Metazoa; Chordata; Aves; Passeriformes; Pipridae
Exons: 2
Source: RefSeq, a predicted model, not a curated record